AAGAUGGCUUUGCGGUGCAUUAGCUAGUUGGUAGGGUAAAGGCCUACCAAGGCGACGAUGUCUAGGGGACCUGAGAGGGUGAUCCCCCACACUGGCACUGAGAUACGGGCCAGACUCCUACGGGAGGCAGCAGUAGGGGAUAUUGGGCAAUGGACGAGAGUCUGACCCAGCCAUGCCGCGUGCCGGAUGAAGGCCUUCUGGGUUGUAAACGGCUUUUCUCAGGGAAGAAAACGGGUAUGCGUACCACACUGACGGUACCUGAGGAAUAAGCACCGGCUAACUCCGUGCCAGCAGCCGCGGUAAUACGGAGGGUGCAAGCGUUGUCCGGAUUUAUUGGGUUUAAAGGGUGCGUAGGCGGCCCGUUAAGUCCGGGGUGAAAGCCCACUGCUCAACAGUGGAACUGCCCUGGAUACUGGCGGGCUUGAGUCCAGACGAGGUUGGCGGAAUGGAUGCUGUAGCGGUGAAAUGCAUAGAUAGCAUCCAGAACCCCGAUUGCGAAGGCAGCUGACUAGGCUGGUACUGACGCUGAGGCACGAAAGCGUGGGGAGCGAACAGGAUUAGAUACCCUGGUAGUCCACGCCGUAAACGAUGGAUACUCGCUGGUGGCGAUAGACAGUCACUGGCUUAGGG
Molecule: ribosomal RNA, 630 nt
Filed under: uncultured bacterium
Lineage: Bacteria
Description: SSU rRNA
Rfam family: Bacterial small subunit ribosomal RNA
Source: RNAcentral